CGUUUUAGAAACAUCAGUGGCCAACAAUCGUCAGGAUUGUUGAGCUGCAUUGGCGGGAUUUCGCCGUCUUCGUUUCUCUUUCUUCGCGGACGAACACGCGCUGGGGCUGCAAGUUUGCAGAGUCCCUGGUCCUUGACUGGAUAUGCGUUAGGGGCUUGUAGCUCAGUUGGUUAGAGCGCGCGCUUGAUAAGCGUGAGGUCGGAAGUUCAAGUCUUCCCAGGCCCACCACUUUCAUCGAGUGAGCAUUCGUCUUCUGGUUACGGGGCCAUAGCUCAGCUGGGAGAGCGCGUGCUUUGCAAGCAUGAGGUCGUCGGUUCGAUCCCGUCUGGCUCCACCAGAUGGUUUGAUCAUCGACUGAUCGUGCGCCUAAAUCGUCCGCGAAACAUCACUUCGCAUCUUGCUAGUCUGGAUAGACAGCAAGUUGCGUGAUUUCUGACAUCGUAAAGAGGAGAUCGAUCCGAGUUGGAUCGUGCGGCAAGCAAUUGCUACGCGAGACUUCAUUAUCUCCGGAUCAUUUCGGCGCUCGUGCGUCUUUCAAGGGCAGCUCACAAGGCUGCUUCUGGAGAGACAAGCGAGUUGUAAAUGAUCCUUUUAGCGAAGCUUGACCGCCUCGCUAUCGGAACGAUCUUACGAAGCAAGCUGGUCUUUCUAAUCAUUGUCCGGCUGCAGAUAGCGUUCAUCGAGGGCGCGUGCCGCAAGGUAAUUCUGCAGACAACAUUCUGCCGAGUGUGUGGACAUUGAUAAUGAGAGCAAUCAAGUGCCUUAAGGGUGUUCGGUGGAUGCCUUGGCGCUGAGAGGCGAUGAAGG
Molecule: transfer RNA, 807 nt
Filed under: Bradyrhizobium sp. CCBAU 25374
Lineage: Bacteria; Pseudomonadati; Pseudomonadota; Alphaproteobacteria; Hyphomicrobiales; Nitrobacteraceae
Description: partial contains 16S-23S ribosomal RNA intergenic spacer and 23S ribosomal RNA
Rfam family: tRNA (bases 152-225)
Source: RNAcentral